UGCAAGUCGAGGGGUAACAGGGAUUGCUUGCAAUCCGCUGACGACCGGCGCACGGGUGCGUAACGCGUAUGCAACCUACCUUCUACAGGGGGAUAGUCAAUAGAAAUGUUGAAUAAUACCCCAUACGAUCAUUAAUCUGCAUGGAUUGAUGAAGAAAGUUCCGGCGGUAGAAGAUGGGCAUGCGUCCUAUUAGUUAGUUGGUAAGGUAACGGCUUACCAAGACAUCGAUAGGUAGGGGUCCUGAGAGGGAGAUCCCCCACACUGGUACUGAGACACGGACCAGACUCCUACGGGAGGCAGCAGUGAGGAAUAUUGGACAAUGGAGGCAACUCUGAUCCAGCCAUGCCGCGUGCAGGAAGACUGCCCUAUGGGUUGUAAACUGCUUUUAUACAGGAAGAAACCCCUCUACGUGUAGAGGCUUGACGGUACUGUAAGAAUAAGGAUCGGCUAACUCCGUGCCAGCAGCCGCGGUAAUACGGAGGAUCCAAGCGUUAUCCGGAAUCAUUGGGUUUAAAGGGUCCGUAGGUGGAUAAUUAAGUCAGAGGUGAAAUCCUGCAGCUUAACUGUAGAAUUGCCUUUGAUACUGGUUGUCUUGAGUUAUUAUGAAGUGGUUAGAAUAUGUAGUGUAGCGGUGAAAUGCAUAGAUAUUACAUAGAAUACCAAUUGCGAAGGCAGAUCACUAAUAAUAUACUGACACUGAUGGACGAAAGCGUGGGGAGCGAACAGGAUUAGAUACCCUGGUAGAAGGGC
Molecule: ribosomal RNA, 750 nt
Filed under: uncultured Flavobacteriia bacterium
Lineage: Bacteria; Pseudomonadati; Bacteroidota; Flavobacteriia
Description: bacterial SSU rRNA
Rfam family: Bacterial small subunit ribosomal RNA
Source: RNAcentral